Molecule: unclassified non-coding RNA, 148 nt
Organism: Papio anubis (olive baboon)
Lineage: Eukaryota; Metazoa; Chordata; Mammalia; Primates; Cercopithecidae
Rfam family: Metazoan signal recognition particle RNA
About the family: The signal recognition particle (SRP) is a universally conserved ribonucleoprotein. It is involved in the co-translational targeting of proteins to membranes.
Source: Ensembl
GCUGGGCCUGGUGGCGCAUGCCUGUAAUCCCAGCUAUUCAGGAGGCUGAGGCAGGAGAAUCGCUUGAACUCGGGAGGUGGAGGUUGCAGUGAGCUGAGAUUGUGCCACUGUACUUCAGCCUGAGUGACAGAGCGAGACUCUGUCUCAG